This 4898-nucleotide long non-coding RNA is filed under the name Olea europaea (common olive). RNAcentral's name for it is "long non-coding RNA (OEUR_LNC008141)". The record is from RNAcentral. Lineage: Eukaryota; Viridiplantae; Streptophyta; Magnoliopsida; Lamiales; Oleaceae.
ACUUAAUGGAAAAGACAUGCCAUUAUCAUUUUCAUCUCCACUCUGCAUUCCACUCCGUGAAUACCAUGCGUGAUAUCUUCUAGGUAGAAGCUGAUGCUCCAGAAGUUCAUUCCAAAACUGCCCAUACGUCCGGUGACAUGGUCCAGCUGACAGGAAAUGCAUAAUCAAAAAAUAAACCUCUCUGAUGUCAAUGUCCACAUCAGCUUCUGUUGUUCUUCUUUGCUGGACUGUAGACUGGCCUUUUCCAUUUUCCUUACUGGAGAAUCGCAAUGUUUUGAUAUUGACAGAAGGAGCAUCGCCAGAAGGAACGUAUUUCUGGAGAGCCAUAUCCUGAAGAAUCUCGAGGCUGUUACAAAGUAAUUAUAUCAAAACCUUCAUUUCUCAUCCCACAAGAAGUGAAAACCAAAUUUUAUACGUCAAAACUCAAAAUCCAGGAAACUUUAGGAUUUGGUUUAGACUCAAAACAGAAUUAAGAAUAAAGAAGGCCGCUUUGUCGAUAUUGCUGAGGGCCUGAGAUUAUCUGUCAACAUUAACAAAGACAGACACCUUUUAUUAAUUUCCAUUUCAUUACAAGUAACAUGGGUCCAUGUCCCAUGAUCGUAGUCAAUGCCAAUGCCAUCUCAGCCAUUAAAUCUAAAUUUUGCUAUUUAAUGUUGAUACACACCACAUAGACCAUGUUUCACUAAAAAUAACAUUUUUAUAUCAGCUGUCCAAGUCCUUGAAAUCCAUGAAGAUGGAACAUUCUAGAAAAAUUGAUUACUCACCACUAAAAGAUUUUUUUUUUUCUUUUUUCAUUUCAUUGUCUCAAUAAAAUACUUUUACCUCAUUCAAUUCACAGCAUUUAUACACAAAGCAAAACACUGUCAUAUAAAUGGCUUAUUAACCACAUUCAUUAAUGUACAUUUAAAAACUUAUUCGCUAUAAUAAUAGAGGAAAUGUGAAAUGAUACAAUCACUUGAUGCAUAAAAACCAACAUGUGCAUAUCCAUGCGUAUGUAUAUCAUAAACCUGCUUUGUAAAACUAAAAAAAAACCAGGUUAGUAAUUAAAAUUAUUUCCAGAUUUGCUCACAAAAUCAAAAUCAAAAGUAAACAAAAAAGCAAGCAAAUCAAACCCGAUAAGGCCUAAAAUUAAAGAUCGAACCUCUGAAUGCUUAGAAUUGUUAUCACAACCGGAUACUCAAAACUUUGACUCAUUAGCAUUCCAGUGUGGCAUUUGAAAACAAAACCCCCAAAUUUCCAAGUUAUUUACACUUUAUACUACCACAAAACAAACAUAUAAACAAUUCAAAAAAAACAAAUUAACACCAUUCGAGAUCUAAUCCAUCACAUGCAAAAAGCCCUAUAAAAUUAUUAACAAAACCAAAUACGAAAUUCCCUUUUCUCGUAAUUGGAAAAUUAAAUAUUUACCUGUAACAGAGUGUACCAUUAACAACAAAACAAAUUCGUUUAGGUAGAGACAAAAAACUGAACGAACGGCAAGAAUGGAGAUCGAAAUUAAGAGAACUUUUUAAAGGAUAAACAAGAAUUAAUAAAAUUCAAUUUCACAAAAAGGGGAUAUUACAUUAGGGCUAAUAAUGAAUUGAAUUUACUGGUUUUGAUUUAGAUAUAUGGGAGGGAGCUCUGUCGAAAGUUUGUAUUGAAACACUGUAUUUGAGUUUUUCGUGUAGAUAGUUUGAGAGAGAGAGAGAGAGAGGAAGAAGAGAGAGACGUUUUAGAGAGAGAGCGUCAUAUAUAUAACUUUAAGCCCACUCUAGGACCCUUAGACGCCUUGAGGUGAAAAUAUAAAAUUAAUUGUUUCAAUGGUCACUGAAAUUAAAUUCAUGUAUUUAAUUAGUCAUUGAAUUUUAAAAUGUCAAGUUUUGAUCAUUGAAUUUUGAAAAAUAUCGAGUUUGAUCACUGAAUUUAGAUUCAUAUCUUUGAUUGCUCAGUAAACUUUAAAAUAUCGAGUUUUGACCACUGAACUUUGAAAAAUAUCGAGUUUUGGCCACUGAACUGAAGUUCAUGUAUUCAAUUGCUUACUGAAAUUUAAAAUGUCAAGUUUUGGCCACUGAACUGAAGUUCAUGUAUUCAAUUGCUUACUGAAAUUUAAAAUGUCAAGUUUUGGCCACUGAACUUUGAAAUAUGCCGUACGUUACUCAUAAGCAUAACUGUUGAAUUUUAAAAAAUAUCGAGUUUAUAGUGAAUAAUGUACAACAUUUUUCAAUGUUCAAUGAAUAAUAUAUAAUAUUUUUCAAAAUUUAGUGAGUAAUGUACAAUAUUUUUCAAAGUUUAAUGACCAAAACUCGAUAUUUUAAAGUUCGAUAAGCAAUCAAAGACAUAGAACUAAGUUCAGUUGCCAAAACUCUACAUUUUAAAGUUUAAUGGCCAAUCAAAAAUAUGAACCUAAAUUCAGUAACCAAAACUCAACAUUUUAAAGUCCAGUGAUCAAUCAGUUUGACCUAUCAUUCUACUGUAAGGCAGAUCAGAGUCAAGCACAAGAAUGCAUGAUAAUAAAAUCUGGACAAUUUGACCAUCACCGCAAGAAAAAAAUACAGCCAAAUGAUGAGGGAAAAAUAACUACCAUACUGAUGUUUCCAAUUACUAAGACUCUUAAGUAUGAAACUUAUCGAAGGAAACACAAGAGUUUGACCUAUCAUUCUACUGUAAGGCAGAUCAGAGUCAAGCACAAGAAUGCAUGAUAAUAAAAUCUGGACAAUUUGACCAUCGCCGCAAGAAAAAAAUACAGCCAAAUGAUAAAGAAAAAAUUCUUAAUCAUAUUAUGGGAAGGUAAUCAUUUCCAAGUGCACACUUCAGAUCUAAUUGGACUCUGCCUGAAAUCAUAGUAGCUUUCCAAAGGUAUACCUUGGAUAUCAUGCAAGACUAAAUCAGAAAAUUUAAAAAAGCUUCAAGUAACUUAAGAAACUACAAUGUUGAGUAUAUAAGAAAGAUGCAGCUCUAAUAAGUAAUCCUCUCUCUUAAUAAAGAACGACAUAUAAAUCUCUCAAUAUGAAAAUGCCUGUCCACUUCAAAUCUACAAAGAGAAGGGAAAUAAAGGUGAAAUCAUACCGCAGUAAACAGCAUUACGGUGCCCUCGGACUCUUUUAAUAUUUUGCAUCUUAUGUACCAUAGUAGAUGGUUUUGCAAUGGCAUAACAUGCAGCGCGAGUAGAAGGGGCACGAUGAUGCCUAGGAAAUCCACCACCAAUUUCCCUUAAACUAAGUCCACGCACUUGAUCAGCUAGCCUGUGAGGCCAGCGCAAGUGGCAUGGGGGAUGUUUGACUUGACCAUCCCUCUUAUUUUGAUCACCUUUGAGGGGGAGAUGGAGAGCAUAUGAGUUGACAAAAAAAAAGCUAGAAAAAAUAAAGAAUAGCAGAGACAGGAUAAGAAUAUAAACUCUUCAUUCAGUCUGGAGAUUAUUAUGAAAAGAGGAUAACUUAUAAUACUAUUAUGAAAAGAAAAAUACACAAUUGACUAAAGUAUGGAGAUUAUUGCAUCAGAAUAUAAUUGAGCCAAAAAUAUACAAUGGCCAAAAUUAAUAUCACGAAUUACAGCUACGUACUAGCCAGAAGUGAAAAAGAACCAGUUCCGAGGAGAGUCGGGACAGCAGAUGCAUUUAUUGCAUUCCCACCAAUCAAGCCUUGUGAUGGAUCAGCAGAACUUCGUAUCAGUUGCUUCAGAAGCUUUACCAAGUGAUCCGUCUCAAUGUGAGGAUAUCUGAGUAAAAAAUCACAAUUGCAACUGUCAAGAGAUGAUAAAAGAAAUCUAAGUAGAUAAAAGGAGAAAGAAUAAAAAAGUUGAAAACUGAUAUAAAUAUCUCAGCAAGUUGGCCAAAUCUAAAAUCUUUCAACCUACGUUCAAAGUUCUUCCUUUUCCUUAUUCCCUUUGACAGAGAAGAAGAGUAGAUCUCCGAAGCCCUUUCAACNNNNNNNNNNNNNNNNNNNNNNNNNNNNNNNNNNNNNNNNNNNNNNNNNNNNNNNNNNNNNNNNNNNNNNNNNNNNNNNNNNNNNNNNNNNNNNNNNNNNNNNNNNNNNNNNNNNNNNNNNNNNNNNNNNNNNNNNNNNNNNNNNNNNNNNNNNNNNNNNNNNNNNNNNNNNAAAGCUCCACCAACACUAGUUGAAGUCCUCUAUGAAACCUUAGGGUGUGUUUGAUUACAUUUAUUUUUCAUGGAAAAUAUCAGUUUUCCAUCUAAAUUCCUAUUUGGAGUGUUUGAUUGCUAUUUUUUUCAUGGAAAACAUUUUCCAACUUUUGAAAAUAUGUUUAAUUUUCCUUGUUUUUAAGGAAAAUAUUUUCCUUGGAUAGAGGUGGUUUUUAUUUUCCAUAAAAGAUGGAAAAUAUUUUCUUUUCUAGGUUAUAUUUUCCAUGUCAAUCAAACACACUCUUAAUUCUUUUAUGCAGUCAACUAAAAAAAUAAAAAAAGGGGGGAAACUAUUGUUUCUCAUAAUUUAGCAAUCAUGAUCAAACAGUGGUAAUGCAAUAAUACUAAGAGGGCAGGAGAGGAGUAAAUGCAUUUGACCACCAGCAGGACUUGUAGAAACACCUGGCUACCGAAUUGGACUAUGUAUCGCUUAAUUUCCAAAUAGAACUCUCAGUAAACCAAAAUCAAAAGAUAGAAAGCAAACCUCAAAGGGAAAACAGCUAUAAAGGUUAUCUACCCAGGUGACAAGUAGCAGAGUUUACCUUUCCACCAGCUUAUUAUAACUUAAUGGAAAAGACAUGCCAUUAUCAUUUUCAUCUCCACUCUGCAUUCCACUCCGUGAAUACCAUGCGUGAUAUCUUCUAGGUAGAAGCUGAUGCUCCAGAAGUUCAUUCCAAAACUGCCCAUACGUCCGGUGACAUGGUCCAGCUGACAGGAAAUGCAUAAUCAAAAAAUAAACCUCUCUGAUGUCAAUGUCCACAUCAGCUUCUGUUGUUCUUCUUUG